Non-coding RNA from Carcharodon carcharias (great white shark), 73 nucleotides. The record is from the annotation of a RefSeq genome assembly. Lineage: Eukaryota; Metazoa; Chordata; Chondrichthyes; Lamniformes; Lamnidae.
GCCCAGCUAGCUCAGUUGGUCAAGCUUAAGACUCUUAAUUUCAGGGUCGUGGGUUCGAGCCCCACGUUGGGUG